RNAcentral lists this unclassified non-coding RNA (250 nucleotides) under plant metagenome. RNAcentral's name for it is "partial contains small subunit ribosomal RNA, internal transcribed spacer 1, and 5.8S ribosomal RNA". The record is from RNAcentral.
GUAGGUGAACCUGCGGAAGGAUCAUUACUGAACUGUCGACACGAGUUGUUGCUGGCCCCCGAAAGGGGGCAUGUGCACGCUCUGUUUACACAUCCACUCACACCUGUGCACCCUCUGUAGUUCUGUGGCCUUGGGGACUCCCGUCCUCUCGCUGCGGUCCUACGUCUUUACACACACACACCGUAGUACAGUCUCAUGGAAUGUAUGCCGCGUUUAACGCAAUACAAUUACAACUUUCAGCAACGGAUCU